This 312-nucleotide unclassified non-coding RNA is filed under the name Hevea brasiliensis (rubber tree). The record is from RNAcentral. Lineage: Eukaryota; Viridiplantae; Streptophyta; Magnoliopsida; Malpighiales; Euphorbiaceae.
UGCUCAUAAUCUUCCCAUUCGAUCAAUUUCACUUUCUCUGAUUCGCUCCCGUUUGCUGGCUCUGAAGAAAGGGUUCGGUCUCCUUCCAUCAAUGUCUGGAAUCGAAAAUGUAAUAGUUUGGUUCAAUAAGAGGUCAAGGCCUGACCUCAUCGUACUGCAAAGAGGAUGAAUUAGUGCUUGGACGUCAUCGAAUCGGGAAGCAUUCGGUUUGGAUCAUAAAUUUCUCGGGAAAAAUACGAGUGAUUUUCUCGCGAAAUUGGAAGGGGAAAAAAAGGACGAGUAGGUUUUCUCUUGCUUUUCUGGUCGGUAAAU